This 497-nucleotide ribosomal RNA is filed under the name uncultured bacterium. Its description in RNAcentral is "partial 16S ribosomal RNA". It matches the Rfam family "Bacterial small subunit ribosomal RNA", at positions 28 to 507 of the family's 1533-position model. The record is from RNAcentral.
GAUGAACGCUGGCGGCGUGCCUAAUACAUGCAAGUCGAGCGAACGGACGAGGAGCUUGCUCCUCUGACGUUAGCGGCGGACGGGUGAGUAACACGUGGAUAACCUACCUAUAAGACUGGGAUAACUUCGGGAAACCGGAGCUAAUACCGGAUAAUAUAUUGAACCGCAUGGUUCAAUAGUGAAAGACGGUUUUGCUGUCACUUAUAGAUGGAUCCGCGCCGCAUUAGCUAGUUGGUAAGGUAAUGGCUUACCAAGGCAACGAUGCGUAGCCGACCUGAGAGGGUGAUCGGCCACACUGGAACUGAGACACGGUCCAGACUCCUACGGGAGGCAGCAGUAGGGAAUCUUCCGCAAAGGGCGAAAGCCUGACGGAGCAACGCCGCGUGAGUGAUGAAGGUCUUCGGAUCGUAAAACUCUGUUAUUAGGGAAGAACAAAUGUGUAAGUAACUAUGCACGUCUUGACGGUACCUAAUCAGAAAGCCACGGCUAACUACGUG